Molecule: ribosomal RNA, 198 nt
Filed under: uncultured bacterium
Lineage: Bacteria
Description: partial 16S ribosomal RNA
Rfam family: Bacterial small subunit ribosomal RNA
Source: RNAcentral
ACGCUCGACACCUACGGGGGCAGCAGUGGGGAAUAUUGCACAAUGGGGGAAACCCUGAUGCAGCAACGCCGCGUGAAGGAAGACGGUUUUCGGAUUGUAAACUUCUGUUCUUAGUGAAGAUAGUGACGGUAGCUAAGGAGCAAGCCACGGCUAACUACGUGUCAGCAGCCGCGGUAAUCUGAGGCGGGCUGGCAAGGC